This 301-nucleotide ribosomal RNA is filed under the name uncultured bacterium. RNAcentral describes it as "partial 16S ribosomal RNA". It matches the Rfam family "Bacterial small subunit ribosomal RNA", at positions 509 to 809 of the family's 1533-position model. The record is from RNAcentral.
CAGUAGCCACGGGAACACGGAGGGUGCAAGCGUUAAUCGGAAUUACUGGGCGUAAAGCGCACGCAGGCGGUCUGACAAGUCAGAUGUGAAAUCCCCGGGCUUAACCUGGGAACUGCAUUUGAAACUGUCAGGCUGGAGUCUUGUAGAGGGGGGUAGAAUUCCAGGUGUAGCGGUGAAAUGCGUAGAGAUCUGGAGGAAUACCGGUGGCGAAGGCGGCCCCCUGGACAAAGACUGACGCUCAGGUGCGAAAGCGUGGGGAGCAAACAGGAUUAGAUACCCCUGUAGUCCCUGUCUCUUAUAU